UUGAUCCAAGCAUAACGAUGUUUAAGCUUAAUUUCAUUAUCACUUUUCUUAUCAUUGCGGUCACUAGUUAAUAUCUAUCUCUAUAUUUCUGUACAUUAUACUUCUACAUUAUGUCUUUUGUUAAUAUGUAUAUAGGUAUAUAGAUGACUUUUUGCACAUAUUUGAAUCCAUAAUAUGCAUGCAUUUGUUUGAUUAUAUGAUGUUUAUAUGUAGAUUUUUCGUAUUACGGUGAUAAUUAUUUGAUAUUAAUAUUUAUGAUGGUGAAAUAUUUCAGUGAAUAUUCCCUUGAUCGCAAAGUAGUUUCAUUAUCGUUAUUUUUAUCAUGACAAUCACUAGUUAGUAUCCAUCUUUGUUUAUCGAUACAUUACACUUAUAAUUGUAUUGUGUUUGUUAAUAUGUAUAUAGAUACAUAGAUGAAUUUGUGCAUAUUUUAUAUGAAUCCAUUAAUAUGUUCCAUUAUAUGAUGUUUAGAUGUGGAGUUUUCUUAUUACGUCGAUGGUUAUUUAAUUAUAAUAAUAUGAUAUUGUGGAAUUUUUCAGUCAAUGUGCCGGGAUUAUCAAAUAAUCAAGUCGUAGCAACACCUGAUGUUGAUCAUGUUCCUGCAGAAUUUACGAAGAGAUUGCUCCCACAACUGAAUACUUGUUUGAGAUCUUGUACCUCGAACUUUGACUGCAGUGAUUGUUGGGUUUGUUGUGCUUGUAAAUACGCGGUGAUAGGUGGCUACACAUGUGACUUGAGCCGGUAGUGUCGAGUGGCAAAAGCUCUAAUACAAAUUCCUAUGUGUUCUUGUGAUUUUAACGUUUUUAUUUGUCUUUUUCUCAUUUCUUUGUCUUUUGUGCUUUGUAGAAGUAAUAAAAGAAGUCAUGAAUGACUUUCUAUUUCGAUACAAUAAUCGAUAAAUGUAUCUUUUGUACGUUGUAA
RNAcentral lists this long non-coding RNA (921 nucleotides) under Nicotiana benthamiana. Its description in RNAcentral is "long non-coding RNA (NBEN_LNC033617)". Lineage: Eukaryota; Viridiplantae; Streptophyta; Magnoliopsida; Solanales; Solanaceae. The record is from RNAcentral.